Molecule: ribosomal RNA, 253 nt
Filed under: uncultured bacterium
Lineage: Bacteria
Description: partial 16S ribosomal RNA
Rfam family: Bacterial small subunit ribosomal RNA
Source: RNAcentral
GACGUAGGGUGCAAGCGUUGUCCGGAUUUAUUGGGCGUAAAGAGCUCGUAGGCGGUUUGUCGCGUCUGCUGUGAAAUCCCGAGGCUCAACCUCGGGUCUGCAGUGGGUACGGGCAGGCUAGAGUUCGGUAGGGGAGACUGGAAUUCCUGGUGUAGCGGUGAAAUGCGCAGAUAUCAGGAGGAACACCGGUGGCGAAGGCGGGUCUCUGGGCCGAUAUUGACGCUGAGGAGCGAAAGCGUGGGGAGCGAACGGG